UGCCAGCAGCCGCGGUAAUACGGAGGGGGCGAGCGUUAUUCGGAAUUAUUGGGCGUAAAGGGCGCGUAGGUGGCCUGAAAAGUCAGUGGUGAAAUCCCUCGGCUCAACCGAGGAACUGCCUCUGAAACUGUCGGGCUCGAGGCCGGGAGAGGGUAGUGGAAUUCCCAGUGUAGCGGUGAAAUGCGUAGAUAUUGGGAAGAACACCUGUGGCGAAGGCGGCUACCUGGACCGGUUCUGACACUGAGGCGCGAAAGCGUGGGGAGCAAACAGGAUUAGAUA
Molecule: ribosomal RNA, 279 nt
Filed under: uncultured bacterium
Lineage: Bacteria
Description: partial 16S ribosomal RNA
Rfam family: Bacterial small subunit ribosomal RNA
Source: RNAcentral